CGGUAAAGAAACUUGCCUCACAGCUAGGGACGAAAUUUAGUAAAGAAUGCUAAUACCUAAUAUUAUGAUAAUAAGGGAUCCUAUAAUUAUGAAAGCUAUAUGCGCUGUGAGAGAGCUUUGCGUCCCAUUAGCUAGUUGGAGAGGUAACGGCUCACCAAGGCGAUGAUGGGUAGUCGGCCUGAGAGGGUGAUCGGCCACAAGGGGACUGAGACACGGCCCUU
Molecule: ribosomal RNA, 221 nt
Filed under: uncultured bacterium
Lineage: Bacteria
Description: partial 16S ribosomal RNA
Rfam family: Bacterial small subunit ribosomal RNA
Source: RNAcentral